RNAcentral lists this ribosomal RNA (811 nucleotides) under marine metagenome. RNAcentral's name for it is "bacterial SSU rRNA". It matches the Rfam family "Bacterial small subunit ribosomal RNA", at positions 8 to 815 of the family's 1533-position model. The record is from RNAcentral.
AGAGUUUGAUCAUGGCUCAGAUUGAACGCUGGCGGUAGGCUUAACACAUGCAAGUCGAGCGAGAAAGUAUCUUCGGAUAUGAGUAGAGCGGCGGACGGGUGAGUAACGCGUAGGAAUCUACCUAGUAGAAGGGGAUAGCCCGGGGAAACUCGGAUUAAUACCGUAUACCUCCUAAGGGAGAAAGAGGGCCUCUCUUGAUGCUCUCGCUAUUAGAUGAGCCUGCGUAAGAUUAGCUUGUUGGUAAGGUAAUGGCUUACCAAGGCUACGAUCUUUAGCUGGUCUGAGAGGACGAUCAGCCACAUUGGGACUGAGACACGGCCCAGACUCCUACGGGAGGCAGCAGUGGGGAAUAUUGGACAAUGGGCGCAAGCCUGAUCCAGCCAUACCGCGUGUGUGAAGAAGGCCUUCGGGUUGUAAAGCACUUUAAGCAGGGAGAAAAAGUUAUAAGUUAAUACCUUAUAACCGUGAUGUUACCUGCAGAAUAAGCACCGGCUAAUUCCGUGCCAGCAGCCGCGGUAAUACGGAAGGUGCAAGCGUUAAUCGGAAUUACUGGGCGUAAAGCGCGCGUAGGUGGUUUGUUAAGUUGGAUGUGAAAGCCCUGGGCUCAACCUAGGAACUGCAUCCAAAACUAACUCACUAGAGUACGAUAGAGGGAGGUAGAAUUCAUAGUGUAGCGGUGGAAUGCGUAGAUAUUAUGAAGAAUACCAGUGGCGAAGGCGGCCUCCUGGAUCUGUACUGACACUGAGGUGCGAAAGCGUGGGUAGCGAACAGGAUUAGAUACCCUGGUAGUCCACGCCGUAAACGAUGACAA